UACGAAGGGGGCUAGCGUUGCUCGGAAUUACUGGGCGUAAAGGGUGUGUAGGCGGAUACUUAAGUCGGGGGUGAAAGCCCAGGGCUCAACCCUGGAAUAGCCUUCGAUACUGGGUAUCUUGAGUUCGGGAGAGGUAAGCGGAACUCCGAGUGUAGAGGUGAAAUUCGUAGAUAUUCGGAAGAACACCAGUGGCGAAGGCGGCUUACUGGCCCGAUACUGACGCUGAGACACGAAAGCGUGGGGAGCAAACGGG
RNAcentral lists this ribosomal RNA (253 nucleotides) under uncultured bacterium. RNAcentral's name for it is "partial 16S ribosomal RNA". It matches the Rfam family "Bacterial small subunit ribosomal RNA", at positions 524 to 776 of the family's 1533-position model. The record is from RNAcentral.